This 424-nucleotide ribosomal RNA is filed under the name uncultured bacterium. RNAcentral's name for it is "bacterial SSU rRNA". It matches the Rfam family "Bacterial small subunit ribosomal RNA", at positions 359 to 776 of the family's 1533-position model. The record is from RNAcentral.
GAAUCAUUCACAAUGGGCGAAAGCCUGAUGGUGCGACGCCGCGUGAGGGAUGAAGGCCUUCGGGUUGUAAACCUCUGUCACCGGGGAAGAAACGCUUCAAGUUAACAGCUUGAAGCCUGACUUAACCCGGAGAGGAAGCAGUGGCUAACUCUGGGCCAGCAGCCGCGGUAAUACAGAGACUGCAAGCUUUAUUCGGAUUCACUGGGCGUAAAGGGUGCGCAGGCGGCCGUGUGUGUGAGGCGUGAAAGCCCGAUGCUUAACAUCGGAAUUGCACCUCAAACUACAUGGCUAGAGCAUUGGAGAGGGUAGCAGAAUUCAUGGUGUAGCAGUGAAAUGCGUAGAUAUCAUGAGGAAUACCAGAGGCGAAGGCGGCUACCUGGACAAUUGCUGACGCUCAGGCACGAAAGCGUGGGGAGCAAAAGGG